GAGGAUGACGCCCAGACAUGGAGAGGAACAUCAGCAACUCAAGAAAAAUGAAGCAAGACAAGCUGGAGAAGCUCGCACGGACAUCCAAUUUCUUGUACCACUCAACUGAGCCGAGUUACUUGUGGAGACUAUAAGAAGAAUUUUUAGGAAGAGUUCGAUCAAGAAGAGCAAGGCUGACACCCAUAGUUGUUUGGCAUCAAAUUCAGAAGAUACACAUCCUAAGAUUGAAGCAAUGCUACCUGAACCAAAGGGUUGUACGCCCACCAUUAUUAAUAUUCC
Molecule: long non-coding RNA, 279 nt
Organism: Triticum dicoccoides
Lineage: Eukaryota; Viridiplantae; Streptophyta; Magnoliopsida; Poales; Poaceae
Exons: 4
Source: RefSeq, a predicted model, not a curated record